This 1094-nucleotide ribosomal RNA is filed under the name Salmonella enterica subsp. enterica serovar Newport. RNAcentral's name for it is "partial 23S ribosomal RNA". It matches the Rfam family "Bacterial large subunit ribosomal RNA", at positions 57 to 1190 of the family's 2925-position model. Lineage: Bacteria; Pseudomonadati; Pseudomonadota; Gammaproteobacteria; Enterobacterales; Enterobacteriaceae. The record is from RNAcentral.
CGUGCUAAUCUGCGAUAAGCGCCGGUAAGGUGAUAUGAACCGUUAUAACCGGCGAUACCCGAAUGGGGAAACCCAGUGUGACUCGUCACACUAUCAUUAACUGAAUCCAUAGGUUAAUGAGGCGAACCGGGGGAACUGAAACAUCUAAGUACCCCGAGGAAAAGAAAUCAACCGAGAUUCCCCCAGUAGCGGCGAGCGAACGGGGAGGAGCCCAGAGCCUGAAUCAGCAUGUGUGUUAGUGGAAGCGUCUGGAAAGGCGCGCGAUACAGGGUGACAGCCCCGUACACAAAAGCGCAUGUGCUGUGAGCUCGAUGAGUAGGGCGGGACACGUGGUAUCCUGUCUGAAUAUGGGGGGACCAUCCUCCAAGGCUAAAUACUCCUGACUGACCGAUAGUGAACCAGUACCGUGAGGGAAAGGCGAAAAGAACCCCGGCGAGGGGAGUGAAAAAGAACCUGAAACCGUGUACGUACAAGCAGUGGGAGCACAGGUUUACCUGUGUGACUGCGUACCUUUUGUAUAAUGGGUCAGCGACUUAUAUUCUGUAGCAAGGUUAACCGAAUAGGGGAGCCGGAGGGAAACCGAGUCUUAAUUGGGCGUUAAGUUGCAGGGUAUAGACCCGAAACCCGGUGAUCUAGCCAUGGGCAGGUUGAAGGUUGGGUAACACUAACUGGAGGACCGAACCGACUAAUGUUGAAAAAUUAGCGGAUGACCUGUGGCUGGGGGUGAAAGGCCAAUCAAACCGGGAGAUAGCUGGUUCUCCCCGAAAGCUAUUUAGGUAGCGCCUCGUGAAUUCAUCUCCGGGGGUAGAGCACUGUUUCGGCUAGGGGGCCAUCCCGGCUUACCAACCCGAUGCAAACUGCGAAUACCGGAGAAUGUUAUCACGGGAGACACACGGCGGGUGCUAACGUCCGUCGUGAAGAGGGAAACAACCCAGACCGCCAGCUAAGGUCCCAAAGUCAUGGUUAAGUGGGAAACGAUGUGGGAAGGCCCAGACAGCCAGGAUGUUGGCUUAGAAGCAGCCAUCAUUUAAAGAAAGCGUAAUAGCUCACUGGUCGAGUCGGCCUGCGCGGAAGAUGUAACGGGGCUAAACCAU